RNAcentral lists this long non-coding RNA (231 nucleotides) under Populus tremula. RNAcentral's name for it is "long non-coding RNA (PTRE_LNC001677)". The record is from RNAcentral. Lineage: Eukaryota; Viridiplantae; Streptophyta; Magnoliopsida; Malpighiales; Salicaceae.
GCACUUAAGGUCUUAGCCUAGCGGUUGAAGGGACUUGUUCCCUUCCUCUAUAUCCUGGGUUCAAACCUCACCGUGCACGCUUAUCAUCCCCACGGUGCCUUACAUGCUCAUUGGGUUUGUAGGAUGUUCAGUGAGCCGUGAGAUUAGUCGUGGUGCGUGCAAGCUAGCCCGGACACCCACGUAAAUAAAAAAAAAAUGAGAUAGCAUAAUCAUAUUAUUAGUAACAAAAGG